This 223-nucleotide ribosomal RNA is filed under the name uncultured bacterium. RNAcentral's name for it is "partial 16S ribosomal RNA". It matches the Rfam family "Bacterial small subunit ribosomal RNA", at positions 524 to 742 of the family's 1533-position model. The record is from RNAcentral.
UACAGAGGGGGCAAGCGUUGUCCGGAAUUACUGGGCGUAAAGCGUGCGCAGGCGGUUUUGUAAGUCUGUCGUGAAAUCCCCCGGGCUCAACCUGGGAAAUUGGCGAUGGAGACUGCAAGGCUAGAAUCUGGCAGAGGGGGGUAGAAUUCCACGUGUGAGCAGUGAAAUGCGUAGAGAUGUGGAGGAACACCGAUGGCGAAGGCAGCCCCCUGGGUCAAGAUUG